Thunnus maccoyii (southern bluefin tuna) is the source of this 627-nucleotide long non-coding RNA. RefSeq lists it as uncharacterized. The transcript is spliced from 4 exons. The record is from RefSeq and is a predicted model, not a curated record. Lineage: Eukaryota; Metazoa; Chordata; Actinopteri; Scombriformes; Scombridae.
CAAUGCAGCCUGGAGGAGAGCUGAGAGGAGUGAGAGUGAGAGGGAGGGAGGAAAUCAGUAAACUGAAGCUAGUUUCUGGACAUCCACCAAACCUCUAAAAACAAAAACAGUGAGCUUUAUAAACAGACAGUGGAAACAGUAAAAGAAAACCAGCCGGGACCAUGGUGAACUAUCCUGGUCUGAGGGAGGAGUGCUGAUCCCUGGAGCGUUCCCUGACUGGGUUGGAUCUGCUGAGACAGAAGCUAAGAGCUAAGUCUUCCUGCUUGUAACUCUCCAGGCUUCUCCUACUCUCUCCUCUUUAACCCUCAAACCCCCCCGCAAUCAAACUGAACAUACUCAACUGCCUUCGACCCCCCCUCCAUAAAGGAACUGAAUUUAAAGGUGAUUGUGAAGCUGGAAGUUGUUUGUUUUCACGUUCAUCUGCUGAAGGAAUCUCAGUUUAACACGUGAACCUACCAGCAGGAUUCACGACUGAUGUUUGAGUUAUACUUCUGAAGGAACCUGCUUCAUGAAGGUGUUUGAUGUGGAUUUGCAGUCGCAGUGAGCAGCCGGACACAGACGGAGGCGCCGCUUCUCUUCAGACUGUCAAACAAACAAAAACCACCAACUUGUUGUCCACUGGUGCCC